This 1855-nucleotide ribosomal RNA is filed under the name Escherichia coli O157. Its description in RNAcentral is "partial 23S ribosomal RNA". It matches the Rfam family "Bacterial large subunit ribosomal RNA", at positions 1107 to 2925 of the family's 2925-position model. Lineage: Bacteria; Pseudomonadati; Pseudomonadota; Gammaproteobacteria; Enterobacterales; Enterobacteriaceae. The record is from RNAcentral.
UAGAAGCAGCCAUCAUUUAAAGAAAGCGUAAUAGCUCACUGGUCGAGUCGGCCUGCGCGGAAGAUGUAACGGGGCUAAACCAUGCACCGAAGCUGCGGCAGCGACACUAUGUGUUGUUGGGUAGGGGAGCGUUCUGUAAGCCUGUGAAGGUGUGCUGUGAGGCACGCUGGAGGUAUCAGAAGUGCGAAUGCUGACAUAAGUAACGAUAAAGCGGGUGAAAAGCCCGCUCGCCGGAAGACCAAGGGUUCCUGUCCAACGUUAAUCGGGGCAGGGUGAGUCGACCCCUAAGGCGAGGCCGAAAGGCGUAGUCGAUGGGAAACAGGUUAAUAUUCCUGUACUUGGUGUUACUGCGAAGGGGGGACGGAGAAGGCUAUGUUGGCCGGGCGACGGUUGUCCCGGUUUAAGCGUGUAGGCUGGUUUUCCAGGCAAAUCCGGAAAAUCAAGGCUGAGGCGUGAUGACGAGGCACUACGGUGCUGAAGCAACAAAUGCCCUGCUUCCAGGAAAAGCCUCUAAGCAUCAGGUAACAUCAAAUCGUACCCCAAACCGACACAGGUGGUCAGGUAGAGAAUACCAAGGCGCUUGAGAGAACUCGGGUGAAGGAACUAGGCAAAAUGGUGCCGUAACUUCGGGAGAAGGCACGCUGAUAUGUAGGUGAAGUCCCUCGCGGAUGGAGCUGAAAUCAGUCGAAGAUACCAGCUGGCUGCAACUGUUUAUUAAAAACACAGCACUGUGCAAACACGAAAGUGGACGUAUACGGUGUGACGCCUGCCCGGUGCCGGAAGGUUAAUUGAUGGGGUCAGCGCAAGCGAAGCUCUUGAUCGAAGCCCCGGUAAACGGCGGCCGUAACUAUAACGGUCCUAAGGUAGCGAAAUUCCUUGUCGGGUAAGUUCCGACCUGCACGAAUGGCGUAAUGAUGGCCAGGCUGUCUCCACCCGAGACUCAGUGAAAUUGAACUCGCUGUGAAGAUGCAGUGUACCCGCGGCAAGACGGAAAGACCCCGUGAACCUUUACUAUAGCUUGACACUGAACAUUGAGCCUUGAUGUGUAGGAUAGGUGGGAGGCUUUGAAGUGUGGACGCCAGUCUGCAUGGAGCCGACCUUGAAAUACCACCCUUUAAUGUUUGAUGUUCUAACGUGGACCCGUAAUCCGGGUUGCGGACAGUGUCUGGUGGGUAGUUUGACUGGGGCGGUCUCCUCCUAAAGAGUAACGGAGGAGCACGAAGGUUGGCUAAUCCUGGUCGGACAUCAGGAGGUUAGUGCAAUGGCAUAAGCCAGCUUGACUGCGAGCGUGACGGCGCGAGCAGGUGCGAAAGCAGGUCAUAGUGAUCCGGUGGUUCUGAAUGGAAGGGCCAUCGCUCAACGGAUAAAAGGUACUCCGGGGAUAACAGGCUGAUACCGCCCAAGAGUUCAUAUCGACGGCGGUGUUUGGCACCUCGAUGUCGGCUCAUCACAUCCUGGGGCUGAAGUAGGUCCCAAGGGUAUGGCUGUUCGCCAUUUAAAGUGGUACGCGAGCUGGGUUUAGAACGUCGUGAGACAGUUCGGUCCCUAUCUGCCGUGGGCGCUGGAGAACUGAGGGGGGCUGCUCCUAGUACGAGAGGACCGGAGUGGACGCAUCACUGGUGUUCGGGUUGUCAUGCCAAUGGCACUGCCCGGUAGCUAAAUGCGGAAGAGAUAAGUGCUGAAAGCAUCUAAGCACGAAACUUGCCCCGAGAUGAGUUCUCCCUGACCCUUUAAGGGUCCUGAAGGAACGUUGAAGACGACGACGUUGAUAGGCCGGGUGUGUAAGCGCAGCGAUGCGUUGAGCUAACCGGUACUAAUGAACCGUGAGGCUUAACCUUACAACGCCGAAGCUGUU